This 465-nucleotide ribosomal RNA is filed under the name Vreelandella stevensii. RNAcentral's name for it is "partial 16S ribosomal RNA". It matches the Rfam family "Bacterial small subunit ribosomal RNA", at positions 338 to 795 of the family's 1533-position model. The record is from RNAcentral. Lineage: Bacteria; Pseudomonadati; Pseudomonadota; Gammaproteobacteria; Oceanospirillales; Halomonadaceae.
CCUACGGGAGGCUACAGUGGGGAAUAUUGGACAAUGGGGGCAACCCUGAUCCAGCCAUGCCGCGUGUGUGAAGAAGGCCCUCGGGUUGUAAAGCACUUUCAGUGAGGAAGAACGCCUGGUGGUUAAUACCCAUCAGGAAAGACAUCACUCACAGAAGAAGCACCGGCUAACUCCGUGCCAGCAGCCGCGGUAAUACGGAGGGUGCGAGCGUUAAUCGGAAUUACUGGGCGUAAAGCGCGCGUAGGUGGCUUGAUAAGCCGGUUGUGAAAGCCCCGGGCUCAACCUGGGAACGGCAUCCGGAACUGUCAAGCUAGAGUGCAGGAGAGGAAGGUAGAAUUCCCGGUGUAGCGGUGAAAUGCGUAGAGAUCGGGAGGAAUACCAGUGGCGAAGGCGGCCUUCUGGACUGACACUGACACUGAGGUGCGAAAGCGUGGGUAGCAAACAGGAUUAGAUACCCGUGUAGUC